UGGCGUAUCUGGGAGAUUAUUCUUCUAACAUUUGCGUGGGUAGCAGGAAGAAGCAAAAACCUAAGCAGAUACGACAUGUGCUCUGCGUCAGAUUGUUCUAAUAGAAAUGAAUAAAGCCGGGCUAUGGAGGGAAUAUCAGUUUGCCGUUUGUCAACAAAGAAGAGCCAGUGUGCCGUUCACACAACACAUACAUGAUCUGGCGACGCAAAAGCAAAAGAGCACGGCGUCUAACCAUACAAAAAGACUUCUGUGGUAUUUAGCUAUUUAUAAUACAAGAAUGCACAAGCUCAUAUAAGAAACUAGCAAUUGCAAGCUGCUGGUUAAGCCAAGUCCUGUGAUUACAUUCAGACUUUGCAAGUCUUGGCAAGUGGUUCACAGUCUUUAUAGAUCUCCAAACCAGACUGAUCAAGUUGGUCUUCCUCAAAGCAAGCGCAACGUUUGCUCAUCGAACCAGUUAUUGCUAUCUCCAAUGGUCUUUGUACCAAUCUUGGCACCCCAACAUCACACCAAACCUGCACAAAUAGCUUAUCCUUUAGCAUAAUUUUGUUUUUUUUUUCAUGCCACCUUGAUAGAAGAUAAUGUUUUGCUUGAUAAUCAAAAAGUCUCAAUUAUACAAAAUAUAAACUACUAAACAUUAAUAUGCAGAUUUAAGUUAAUAAAACAAAAAAAACAAAAUCUAAAAUCUAACCCUAUGAAAUCAACCACUAAAAGACAUAACAUGUUAGAACCUUUUGUUUCUAAACUAUGAAUAUUGUCUACCACAUGAUAACCAAAUUAGUAUAUAUUCUUGAAAAUUGUUCAAUUAUAUGAAAUUUUAAUCUAUUUAGUUCAUAUUAUCCAUUAUAUUGAUGAUUAGUUAAAAAUAUCACUAUAAUUAAUUUUUAUACAUUUUCAAAAUUAAAUUUUAGAUCAAAUUAGAGUGUAGACUACAAACUAAGUCUGUAAGGUAGACUUUUUAGAAAGUCUAAACAUUUGUAGACUUCGUUUUUUACGUGUAGACUUCCAAAUGAUAGAAACGUAAAAUACAUUUAUGUUUUUUUUGUUUUGUCAUAAGGGUUAAAUAGUAUUUUCACUAGCUCUUUAGGUUGGUUUUGCAUUUAACUGAAAGUGGGGUACACUUUUAAGUUUGACUUGAAUAUUUGGGUUGAUUUUAAUAAAUGUCCCAAUUUUUAAAACUACAGUCAUUAACAAUCAGAACCUUAAUGAUCCGACCCUUAGUGAGAAACAUUCCCGAACAAUUAAAUAACUACAGAAUAAUUGGUUAUACCUUUUUUUUCUUGCAAAAUCAGGACUCUCUUCAGCCGUAACAGAAUAAAGACUUUUCUAACCAAAAUUUUGAUCAAUCUCUACUUGAAAUUGAUCUUUAGAAACAAAAUGAUCAUUUUCUAUCGAGAUUAUGAACAAGGUAGAUCUACUAAAGAUAUAAAACAUAAGCAGAUCAUUCAAAGGAAAUGAGGAGGUAAAUCAAACUGCAUAAGAUAAUCAUAACACAGAAAAUCGAGAAUCGAAAUUCCAACAAAAAGUAUUUCACAAGAUAAAAGAGGAUCCACGUCGUCCAACACAUGAACCCUAGAAACUAAAGUAAAGCUGUAAAACUCCAUACGAAAUGUCAUCGGAACCUGAGCUUGGUAAAGAACCACCUGUUCUUGCCAGUCUUAAAACAUUCCUCAAGCUUCGCCUUAGCCUCCUUGAGAGCAGCGACCUUCUCGUCCUUUUAAGAAAGAGCAGGGUAGCGACUUCCUUGAGAUCCACGUCGAGGGUGUAACGGGUAGGCAUCAAAUGCUGGUAGUUAACGACCUUGAUGAAACACUUAACCCGAGAUUUCUUCGCCGUCUUCUUGGCCGAGUCCUUGCGGAUGACCUUGCUCGGGUACUUCUUGAGUCCGGCCACGAGGCAGUGUCCGUAAGGACGCUCACGGUUUCCGUCGUCGAAGGAACGGAUGAUCACGGCUUUCUUUCCGGCGUAUCAGCCUUGAAGAAGGAUCACUGCCUUGUUUUGCUUCAAGAACUUCACCAUUGUUUCUUCUCUUUAUCGCCGCUAAGUGGCGAAUUCAGUGAGAAUUCUUGGUUUAAUAGUGAAGGUUGAGAGAACUAAAAGUAACCUAGCCUAGUACUAACGCCUCAUAUUGGGCCGUUAAAUUAAACCAAUUUAAGGUGGGAUGGCCCGUUGGAGUAUCUACGAUAUCUUCUUUCAUGUAUUGUCCUUCUCUUGUGUACCGAAAGCGGCGUUCAAGAAAUCGCUAAGCGGACGGUAGUCCUCCGGCGCCUAGAACGCCUAGGCGAUUUUAGGCGGUCUAGACGCAUUCUUAACAAACUAUAUUUUAUAUAUAUAUGUUUAGUUAUUUAUAGUAAUAAGCAAAGGAGUUUGUCCAUAAAAAAUAAAAGUUAAGAAAAACUCAAACUUACGUAGUAUAGCGUGCAAACAUAAGCUAUAAGUAGGAAAAGAAGUUUGUCCUAUAAUUCUAACAGUGAUUUUAAUCAUGUUGUUCAGUGUAUCUCCUCUAAAAUUUACUCAUCAUCUAAGUCAAAUUCCAUGUCAAUUUUUUCCUCAUCAUCAGACUCAAAAUCAGACUCAUCAAACUCUCUCAUCAAAUCAUCUCUAGAUGAGGUACCUAGAGUUUCACAAGUAUCUCCAAGUUCCACAUCAGUUUCUUCAACAAUCCAAUCUUGAGCAUGAGUAGCAGAAUCUGCAAGUAGUGUCCACGUUCUUCUCUUUUUGCUUAUUUCGUUUAGCCAUUAAACUCGUGUUGAAUUGAACAUAGACAAAAUUGUUCAAUUGUUUUGCAUCAAGUCUAUUCCUUUUUUUGGGUAUGUACCUACAUAAAACUGAAUAAAUAAGACACACAAACAUUUGUAUGCUCAUGAAAUAUACAAUUCGUUUAGUUUGAAAUACUUAUCCCUUCGAGAGUACUCCAGUUACGCUUACAUCCCGAAGAGCUAAUCAUCAGAGACAAAAUCUUCCUUAAUUUUUGUAACUUAGAACUUCAACUACAUAAAAGUUCCACCAUUGAACUAGAAAGAAUGAUUAGCAAAAUCAUACAUAGAAAAUAUUCAAAAUACACAAAUUCUCAGGAAACAAACCUAGAUCAUAAUUUUCAUCAUUUUUUGAACAUCCUUUAAUGGCUGGCUGUUGGAUGCCCAAAAUUUCUCUCUUUUUUGCAUACAUUGCAAGUUCAGUGUUGAUGAAAAAUGUUCGAGCAUCGAGAUCAUUCGGAUAAAAAGCAUCAACACACUUGAAAGUAGCAGUAAUGACAUCCUGGUCGAACUGAAUACUCAUAUCCUUAUAAAAAUAAUAAGGAUUCAAGAGAUAUGCCAUCCAACGAAGAGGACUAUCAAGAAGACCAUAACUCUUCUCAUCAACAAUAUUGAGGAUUGAUUUGUAUUUUUUUCCAGAUUGUUGAGUGCUUUGCAUAUUUCUUUCUUCGCUUCUUCUUAUAACUCUCAUUGCAAAACCCCAUUGUAGGCUUCUGAUCUCCAUCAACUAAUCUUAGUACUCUAACCAAGGGUGAAAACACUUUCAGACACAUUCCUACACCAUCCCAAUACUCCAUAUACCAAGUUGUAUGAUAGGCUGCAAGUCCUUUAUGAUGCUUUGUCCAUUUACAUUCUGCCCAUUCAUUGCUAGCAAACAUCAUCUUUAAGUUUUCUUUCUUAUCCAUUAAAGGAAAGCAGAUGCAAAUCUAGUUACUCCAGGUCUUACUAUGUCUCUUUUCUUUGUAAACUUCGUCAUAAUAGUGCCUUGAACUUUUGUUGUAAUUGGUUAAGAAAUUCCCAUAAACGAACUCAAUGACAAUGCCAUCAAUGUGGACUCCGAAAUUUCUGUAUCUUCUUCAAUCUCAAUCAAAGAUUGAUCCACUAUCUCCAUUUCAAUCCCAUUAACAACCGUCAGCACUUGUAAGUAUCUGUUUGGACACCAAUGUUGCCUAGACCAUUUAUCAUCACUAGUAAAACAUUGUCCCAACCUCUUCUUCUCUACUAUUUGACUAUCUGAUAACCAAAGUUGUGGUCGUUGCACUCUAUUACCACCACCUUUAUCUUGAGUACCAGUUUUCUUAGCUUGUUGUUUUGAUUGCCAAUCAGAUGACGUACAGGACUGUGCGACAGGUUUGAAUUUUUUUUGCCCCAUGCCUACCCUUCCUUCUUGAUUUAUCUCCCGACAAACCAUCUUAUAGAACGCAUUGUCUUCCAUCUGAUACACAGUAGCAAUCAUCUCAGGAAGGUCUACCUGUUUACUCAUGUUCACCACUUCUCUCAUCUCCGGAGUCAGUCCAUUCAUGAAUAUACCUUCCAAUUGCCUAUCAGUCAAACCACUGACAUGAGUCGAUAGAUCCUCAAACAUAUGGAUGUAUUGAGAAAUCUUUCCCGUUUGUUUUACAGCAAAAAACGGUUGACUCGGACCUCUUAAUUUUUCUCUGCUAAAUCUUGCUAACAACCUUUCCUUGACUUUGUUCCAACUCACAAAAUUGCUCGUGUGUGUGUUUCGUUGUUGAACCAGCUCAAAACAUCACCUGCAAGACUCACAGAAACAGUCUCCAGUUUCUCUCCGCUCAUCAUAACCUUCGCUUAGAAAAUAUUUCUCCGCUAAGACGAACCAACCAUAUGCAUCAUCCCCAGCAAAAGAUGGAAGUUCAACAUGCUUCACUAAUCCAUCUCAAUUAUCGAUAUGGUUUCAGACUUGGCUCCGUAACCUCCACACUUUUCGAAUCCUUCUUCACAAUCAGCUCGCAUAAAUUCUGAAAGUUCGAAUCCAUCCUUGAUUGCAAUUCUUCGUAACGAUUUUGUUAUUUUCUCUCCAGAACCUCGAUUUUCGACAUCGACUUCGUGUCCAAAGCUCGAAUCAAUGCUCGUCUCGUGUUGAGCUGCCGUGUGAUCCCUCAAUGUUUUCGGAAAAGUAUCCAACAUCACCGGCUCAUCCUCCGCCUGAACCUUUUGCGAUUUCUUCAUGGUUUUGUCGUCUUCGUAAUCGCGAUUGUUCGAUCCAGAACGCUCAAGGCUGCACCAAUUUGAUAGAUAAUAGUAGUAUUAUCUAUCUUUGUAACAAACGAUAAGGUCCAAACAACCCUUUACCAUAUCUUUACUAAUUCUCCAAUUAACACUUGGCCUUCUUAGAUACUAAGGCGCAGUAACAAUAUCUUCUAAACAACUUCUAACUGUCACUCUCAGCAUCCUUGUGCUCCACGUCAAUAUGCUCACUUCCAUCCUUCUUCUUUCUCUUUCUCGAAUACACACACAAUGGCAUAUCAAUGUUCUUGCGGAUGGGAUCAGCAUUCAUGUACAUGAAUGAACAGCUAUACAUCUAAUACCAUUCCCUAGUUUUCUCCAGACUGUUAAAGCUCCUUGACAGAGUAUCUAUAAAAAGAAAACAAACUGAUGCUAGAUAAUGACAAACAUUAACAUUCUUAAAAAACUGUAACUGAAACCAACUUACAUUCUGAAAUCGAAGGCUUGAUCUCAAAGCAUGUAGAACAGAACCUUCUGCAUUAUGUGCAGCUGUUUUUCCUUUUUUUUUAUAUUUCGAGAACCACAAUGCUGUGACAUUCCCAGUGAAAUUUUACCGCUGGCGUAUCUGGGAGAUUAUUCUUCUAACAUUUGCGUGGGUAGCAGGAAGAAGCAAAAACCUAAGCAGAUACGACAUGUGCUCUGCGUCAGAUUGUUCUAAUAGAAAUGAAUAAAGCCGGGCUAUGGAGGGAAUAUCAGUUUGCCGUUUGUCAACAAAGAAGAGCCAGUGUGCCGUUCACACAACACAUACAUGAUCUGGCGACGCAAAAGCAAAAGAGCACGGCGUCUAACCAUACAAAAAGACUUCUGUGGUAUUUAGCUAUUUAUAAUACAAGAAUGCACAAGCUCAUAUAAGAAACUAGCAAUUGCAAGCUGCU
RNAcentral lists this long non-coding RNA (5875 nucleotides) under Brassica napus (rape). RNAcentral's name for it is "long non-coding RNA (BNAP_LNC018509)". The record is from RNAcentral. Lineage: Eukaryota; Viridiplantae; Streptophyta; Magnoliopsida; Brassicales; Brassicaceae.